Long non-coding RNA from Prinia subflava (tawny-flanked prinia), 1596 nucleotides. RefSeq lists it as uncharacterized. The record is from RefSeq and is a predicted model, not a curated record. The transcript has 3 exons. Lineage: Eukaryota; Metazoa; Chordata; Aves; Passeriformes; Cisticolidae.
AGGAGAGGAGAGGAGAGGAGAGGAGAGGAGAGGAGAGGAGAGGUGUUUUUUGGUGAAAAGGGAGAGCCAACAGCACUGUAAUACUAAAAGCUAGCGGAAAGGAAGAGAAAGCAUAAGGAAAAGGGGGAAGUAAAGAGACUACAGGAAAGAAAGAGGAGAUAGUAUAAAGAUGAAAAGCCUGUGGGAAACUGGCCCAGAACUGCCGUGCCAGCCACAGGCACAGCACAUCACUCUGGGUCACAGCUGCAAGUUUCCUCACUACAGCAAAAUCUUCUUCUCUUUCACCAGGUCACUCCCACGACAGAGAUUUUAAGGUGAGGACUGUGCAGGCACUCCCUACAGACUGAACUGUUCACGACCGACGACUUCCUUCUGGGCUUAAUGCUGGAACAGAGGGCACAGGAACAAUGCUCUGAAAAGUCAUCUCAGUUUUCAGCUCCUUCACUGGAAUUUUUGUCACCUCAGAGGUAUGCUUUGAUUGAGCUAUACAACUGGACCAUAAGAUGUCCCAGGAGAUCAGAUGAGUGAUCCAUUUAGUUCCAGCCUCUGUCUCCGAAGGUGACAACCCGAGGAGCUGUUCAGGUAGAAUACACAAGUUUGGACACUGUGUGCUCCACUGUCCUCAUGCUUCCCCACUAUCCCCCGCUGCUGCAUAAAGAACGUAGCAGGUACAUUCCCCUCAUGUCCAUUAAUGAUCCCUCUGUCCACUAACUCAUUUCAUCCCUUUCUGAAGGGAUCAUCAUCUGCUCAAAAUACAAGCUUUUGGACAUUUCAAAACAAUUCAGUAAACUGAAAUGCGAAUCAAAACAACUUUCAAUUUUCACAUACGUAGUGCCUUACAUCAGUCCUGUCCAUGACUGAUCAGUCAUUGUGAAAGAUCUGAUAAUAUUGGAAGAAAACAAACUUCACAGCUAAAGCCAUUAUCAGAAAUUUUGUCCAUCUCUGUUCUGUUUCACGUCAGCAUAAAAACACUGGCAGAAAAUAAGGGAGAAAUCAUUAAGUGACAACUGCUUUGUGACAAAAAGCAAGCAUUCAGAGUCUUCUUUAAUAAGAAGACUCUAAAUCAAGGCAGUUUAAUAUUUGAAAGAGCUUCAUAUGUCUUCUUUCCCUAAGGCAUACGUAACGGAUCAGAUUAAAACCCACUAAUUCUCUUUUCCUGACCAAGAGCCGGCAAGCCGCACACCAGACCGAGCCCCAUGCGGUGAGGCCGUGCCAGGAGCCCCGGGCGGACAGCGGCGACACCCGGGGCUGUCCCGCACGGCGCUGCCGCUGUCGCCGCGGAGCCAGCGCGUAACAGAGGGGCACGAGCCCGCUUCUCCUGCGGCAUGCGGGACCGGCCCAGCUCCGGCCCGCCGCACACCGAUGUCACCGGCCCGGGGGCUCCCCGCUCGGCUCCAGUCCCGGGGGCUCCCCGCUCGGCUCCAGUCCCGGGGGCUCCCCGCUCGGCUCCAGCCCCGGGGGCCGGGCCGCUCUCGCUGCGCGGGGGCCGCUCCCGCUGCGCGGAUGCCCCGGGCCGGCACCGUUACCGCGCUUCCCCCCGCCUCCGGUAUCGGAGCGGGGGCUGUCCGCCCGCGGAGCCACAGCCGGGGUGCCGGG